UGAGGGAAUAUUGGGUCAAUGGACGAGAGUCUGAACCAGCCAAGUCGCGUGAAGGAAGACGGAUCUAUGGUUUGUAAACUUCUUUAGUGUGGGAACAAAGCGUGGUUGCGACCGCAGAUGAGUGUACCACAAAAAUAAGCAUCGGCUAACUCCGUGCCAGCAGCCGCGGUAAUACGGAAGGUCCAGGCGUUAUCCGGAUUUAUUGGGUUUAAAGGGAGCGCAGGCGGUCUUAUAAGCGUGACGUGAAAUGCAGCGGCUCAACCGUAUGAUGUGCGUCGCGAACUGUGAGACUUGAGUGUAUUCGAUGUCAGCGGAAUUUGUGGUGUAGCGGUGAAAUGCUUAGAUAUCACGAAGAACUCCGAUUGCGAAGGCAGCUGACAAGGCUACAACUGACGCUAAAGCUCGAAAGUGCG
RNAcentral lists this ribosomal RNA (413 nucleotides) under uncultured Prevotella sp. RNAcentral describes it as "bacterial SSU rRNA". It matches the Rfam family "Bacterial small subunit ribosomal RNA", at positions 354 to 763 of the family's 1533-position model. Lineage: Bacteria; Pseudomonadati; Bacteroidota; Bacteroidia; Bacteroidales; Prevotellaceae. The record is from RNAcentral.